ACGAGCUAUAUAAUUUGUUUUUUAUUAGUAUUUAAAAACCCCUCCCGACAUCCUUCCGACAUAUCCGAUGUGACACCCAAAAUUUUUUUACCUCCAAUCUAAACAGGGCCUUAAUCCUUGCCCCUUCUCAGCCUGACUGAGACAUUGAUUGAUUGAUUUGCCUGUGGAUAUGCUUAACUUGGAGUGUUUUUGGUGGCAUACGUGGCCGUGAUGGCAAGCCUAUCGUUUCCUUGGAGUAGGCAUACUGUUCAUCAUCCAUCAUCAUCGAAUCUUCCAUUUAGAACUUAUUCCGAUAAGCAACAUUUUUUCUAAAAUAUCAACGACUAUAGAGAUAUUUCAUAUCUUACGACAUACUCGCUCCGUCCCUUUUUAAUCGUCGUUCUAGCAGUCCCGUCCCUAAACAAUCGUCGUUGGCUACGAACGCUGAGGCCAUAGGUCAGUCUCGUACACAGCUCAAUCACCCAUAGGUCAGUCCCGUACACAGGAGCCCUCACGGACGCUGCCACCGCUUGUUUAUCUGAGUGCUCAGUCCCGUACACAGGGGCCCAAAACUGCAGCCCAUCUUGUCAUUAUGAGUGCUCAGGCUAUUUGUCUCCUCUGUCUUAAUUCCUGUCCCAUCUCCUCAACGACAGUUAAAAGGGGACGAAGGGAGUACUACGAGUCUGUUUGGACUGAAGCCUUAAAUAUUUAAAAUUGGAUGUUUGGGAGUUUGUUUGGGACAAGCAGCUUUUUAAAGUUGCAAAUCAAACAGACUCUAUAAAAACAAACAAAACACUAUGUAUGUAUAGUUUUUUUUCUUUUUUUUCUUUUUUUUUGCAAGGAUCAUGGAACAGGAAUUGCUCUAGUUAUUUUUAAGAUUUAGUUCAAUCUCAUUUAAAAUCGUAGUCCCUCCAUCUAAUAAUGAUCAACAUGUAUCAAAAAAUGGAAUAGAAUUGGCUAGCACGUAUCAGUUCAAAUGUGUGGUUUGUCUUAAAAGAGAUGUCUCGCAAAUUGGUGCGGCAAUGCAGAGUUAAUGGGUCACAACAUAUUACAUCUCUUCUAUACUCUAACUUAUCUAUUUGAUGGCGCUUGUUAGGAUGCGGAGACACCAAUGGCUUACGGAAAUAAUAGUUUGUUUUUUGUGUCACUACAUAAAGCUAUGGCGAUGAUUAAUUUUUGAAACUAAUAAUUAAGGAUUCAAAAAUCAAAGAUCAUGAAAUCGAUAAGCUAUAGCGAUGAUUAAUUUUUGAAACUAAUAAUUAAGGAUUCAAAAAUCAAAGAUCAUGAAAUCGAUAGUUGUAGUCAAAGUUUUGGCUUUUAUCUAAAGUAAAAUUGAAGUGUUUUUGUGACUGGUGAUGGAUGAAGGGCACAAGGCACGAUCACGCACUUGAAAUAUGGAGGUGCAUAUUGGGACGUUGAGACAUGAAUGAAUGAAUUAAGGGAAUGAUGGUUCUCUCCUUUUGUCGUUGUACAAAAAGUUAUGGUGAUGAACUGAUUGAUCAAUUUUAGACAAAGGGGUAUUUUUGGAGAUUAUUAAUAAUAGUAGCUUAAAUAAUCCAGAUAGUAAAAUUGAUAGUUGUGGUCAAAGAUUUGGCUUUUGUCUAAAUUGAUAAAAACAUAAAGCAAUUUGCAUAAGGUAACUGUCAGAUGACGGGGGUCACGGAAGCAAAGAUCCUUAAGCAAUCGUCCAUGUGGUGUGACCAGCAAUUGCUUGAUAGUCUCCGGGAACAUGCACGAUAUGAUGCCUUGAAAUGCUGUAGUCAUAUAGCUAAGCCUGGGCAAAUUACCCGAUACCCAUUACCCGUACCUGAAUUACCCGGAUCCGAACCCGAGGUAUCCAAUCCUAAAUUCUGAUAGCGAUUUUGAUUACCCAAAAUUAGUUUGGGUAAUUCGGGUAAUAUCCCCCGGUACCCGAAUUACCCAAACAUAUGUCUAUGUCUUU
RNAcentral lists this long non-coding RNA (1921 nucleotides) under Sorghum bicolor (sorghum). Its description in RNAcentral is "long non-coding RNA (SBIC_LNC007223)". Lineage: Eukaryota; Viridiplantae; Streptophyta; Magnoliopsida; Poales; Poaceae. The record is from RNAcentral.